This 446-nucleotide ribosomal RNA is filed under the name uncultured bacterium. RNAcentral's name for it is "partial 16S ribosomal RNA". It matches the Rfam family "Bacterial small subunit ribosomal RNA", at positions 338 to 795 of the family's 1533-position model. The record is from RNAcentral.
CCUACGGGCGGCAGCAGUCGAGAAUCAUUCACAAUGGGGGAAACCCUGAUGGUGCGACGCCGCGUGGGGGAAUGAAGGUCUUCGGAUUGUAAACCCCUGUCAUGUGGGAGCAAAUUAAAAAGAUAGUACCACAAGAGGAAGAGACGGCUAACUCUGUGCCAGCAGCCGCGGUAAUACAGAGGUCUCAAGCGUUGUUCGGAAUCACUGGGCGUAAAGCGUGCGUAGGCUGUUUAGUAAGUCGUGUGUGAAAGGCGCGGGCUCAACCCGCGGACGGCACAUGAUACUGCGAGACUAGAGUAAUGGAGGGGGAAGCGGAAUUCUCGGUGUAGCAGUGAAAUGCGUAGAUAUCGAGAGGAACACUCGUGGCGAAGGCGGGUUCCUAGACAUUAACUGACGCUGAGGCACGAAGGCCAGGGGAGCGAAAGGGAUUAGAUACCCCAGUAGUC